This is a long non-coding RNA of Epinephelus fuscoguttatus (brown-marbled grouper), 235 nucleotides long. RefSeq lists it as uncharacterized. The record is from RefSeq and is a predicted model, not a curated record. Lineage: Eukaryota; Metazoa; Chordata; Actinopteri; Perciformes; Serranidae. The transcript has 2 exons.
CCACCGUCUGCUCGUCACAGGCCUGCAGGGUCUGCAGCAGAGUGCUGUAGUAUCUGGACAACAAUAGCAAACAGGAAGUCAGGAACAAAAUGUGCAGGUGAGACAGGUGUGUGUGUGUCAUCAGUGCUCACCUGUUGGGGAAGUGAGUGGGCACCUGCACCACCUCUCCAAUGGCGUCUGGGUUGGUUCGAGCCACGGUGCAGAUGUCAAGACUGGUGUAACACUCCUCUUGCAC